This 860-nucleotide ribosomal RNA is filed under the name Pseudomonas orientalis. RNAcentral's name for it is "bacterial SSU rRNA". It matches the Rfam family "Bacterial small subunit ribosomal RNA", at positions 63 to 918 of the family's 1533-position model. Lineage: Bacteria; Pseudomonadati; Pseudomonadota; Gammaproteobacteria; Pseudomonadales; Pseudomonadaceae. The record is from RNAcentral.
CGAGCGGUAGAGAGAAGCUUGCUUCUCUUGAGAGCGGCGGACGGGUGAGUAAAGCCUAGGAAUCUGCCUGGUAGUGGGGGAUAACGUUCGGAAACGGACGCUAAUACCGCAUACGUCCUACGGGAGAAAGCAGGGGACCUUCGGGCCUUGCGCUAUCAGAUGAGCCUAGGUCGGAUUAGCUAGUUGGUGAGGUAAUGGCUCACCAAGGCGACGAUCCGUAACUGGUCUGAGAGGAUGAUCAGUCACACUGGAACUGAGACACGGUCCAGACUCCUACGGGAGGCAGCAGUGGGGAAUAUUGGACAAUGGGCGAAAGCCUGAUCCAGCCAUGCCGCGUGUGUGAAGAAGGUCUUCGGAUUGUAAAGCACUUUAAGUUGGGAGGAAGGGCAGUUACUUAAUACGUGAUUGUUUUGACGUUACCGACAGAAUAAGCACCGGCUAACUCUGUGCCAGCAGCCGCGGUAAUACAGAGGGUGCAAGCGUUAAUCGGAAUUACUGGGCGUAAAGCGCGCGUAGGUGGUUUGUUAAGUUGGAUGUGAAAUCCCCGGGCUCAACCUGGGAACUGCAUUCAAAACUGACUGACUAGAGUGUGGUAGAGGGUGGUGGAAUUUCCUGUGUAGCGGUGAAAUGCGUAGAUAUAGGAAGGAACACCAGUGGCGAAGGCGACCACCUGGACCAACACUGACACUGAGGUGCGAAAGCGUGGGGAGCAAACAGGAUUAGAUACCCUGGUAGUCCACGCCGUAAACGAUGUCAACUAGCCGUUGGGAGCCUUGAGCUCUUAGUGGCGCAGCUAACGCAUUAAGUUGACCGCCUGGGGAGUACGGCCGCAAGGUUAAAACUCAAAUGAAUUGACGGGG